CUCCUGACUGACCGAUAGUGAACCAGUACCGUGAGGGAAAGGCGAAAAGAACCCCGGCGAGGGGAGUGAAAAAGAACCUGAAACCGUGUACGUACAAGCAGUGGGAGCACAGAGCAAUCUGUGUGACUGCGUACCUUUUGUAUAAUGGGUCAGCGACUUAUAUUCUGUAGCAAGGUUAACCGAAUAGGGGAGCCGAAGGGAAACCGAGUCUUAACUGGGCGUUAAGUUGCAGGGUAUAGACCCGAAACCCGGUGAUCUAGCCAUGGGCAGGUUGAAGGUUGGGUAACACUAACUGGAGGACCGAACCGACUAAUGUUGAAAAAUUAGCGGAUGACUUGUGGCUGGGGGUGAAAGGCCAAUCAAACCGGGAGAUAGCUGGUUCUCCCCGAAAGCUAUUUAGGUAGCGCCUCGUGAAUUCAUCUCCGGGGGUAGAGCACUGUUUCGGCAAGGGGGUCAUCCCGACUUACCAACCCGAUGCAAACUGCGAAUACCGGAGAAUGUUAUCACGGGAGACACACGGCGGGUGCUAACGUCCGUCGUGAAGAGGGAAACAACCCAGACCGCCAGCUAAGGUCCCAAAGUCAUGGUUAAGUGGGAAACGAUGUGGGAAGGCCCAGACAGCCAGGAUGUUGGCUUAGAAGCAGCCAUCAUUUAAAGAAAGCGUAAUAGCUCACUGGUCGAGUCGGCCUGCGCGGAAGAUGUAACGGGGCUAAACCAUG
Molecule: ribosomal RNA, 719 nt
Filed under: Escherichia coli
Lineage: Bacteria; Pseudomonadati; Pseudomonadota; Gammaproteobacteria; Enterobacterales; Enterobacteriaceae
Description: partial 23S ribosomal RNA
Rfam family: Bacterial large subunit ribosomal RNA
Source: RNAcentral